UGUGUAGGCGGUUUACUAAGUCACUUGUAAAAGAUCUCAGCUCAACUGAGUAAAGCGAGUGAAACUGGUAGACUUGAAUAUGGUAGAGGUAAGUGGAAUUCCAUGCGUAGCGGUGGAAUGCGUAGAUAUAUGGAGGAACACCAAUGGCGAAGGCAACUUACUGGGCCAGAAUUGACGCUGAGACACGAAAGCGUGGGGAGCAAACAGGAUUAGAUACCCUGGUAGUCC
This 228-nucleotide ribosomal RNA is filed under the name uncultured bacterium. RNAcentral's name for it is "partial 16S ribosomal RNA". It matches the Rfam family "Bacterial small subunit ribosomal RNA", at positions 568 to 796 of the family's 1533-position model. The record is from RNAcentral.